RNAcentral lists this transfer RNA (72 nucleotides) under Lipingzhangella rawalii. RNAcentral describes it as "tRNA-Arg". It matches the Rfam family "tRNA". Rfam says of the family: Transfer RNA (tRNA) molecules are approximately 80 nucleotides in length. Their secondary structure includes four short double-helical elements and three loops (D, anti-codon, and T loops). The record is from RNAcentral. Lineage: Bacteria; Bacillati; Actinomycetota; Actinomycetes; Streptosporangiales; Nocardiopsidaceae.
GGCCCCAUAGCUCAGGGGAUAGAGCACCGGUCUCCGGAACCGGGUGCGGAGGUUCGAAUCCUCCUGGGGCCA